This is a long non-coding RNA of Cyprinodon tularosa, 507 nucleotides long. RefSeq lists it as uncharacterized. Lineage: Eukaryota; Metazoa; Chordata; Actinopteri; Cyprinodontiformes; Cyprinodontidae. The record is from RefSeq and is a predicted model, not a curated record. The transcript has 2 exons.
CUCACUGGAUUGUGUGCUGAGCUGUGCUAGGGUUCUUUCUUACCUUUUCCUCCUUAGACUCCAGUCCUGACGAGCCUCCAGCUGGUUCCAAUUGGACGCAAUCAGGGAGCAGUAUUUAGAGGAGUGGAUUCCCUGGGACGGACGCCAGUCGGUUAAAGUUCCACACAGUGGUAACCUACCUGCUAGCUCUCCUAAGACUGAACAAGAUAGUUUUGACUUAAGCUUACCUCCGUGUCCUCCUUCUCUCUCCUAGAAGCCUUGCUGUUUCCAAGCCGGUCUUCCUCCCAGUCUUCCUGGAUCCUUCCCUCGACUGCUCACCUGCCUGUCCACCCUCUGGAGCUCUCAGGUCGAAGCCCUCCAUCUCCGCCAAAGACUCAAUCUCUGUGGGCUCAUCCAACCUCCCCUCCAGCUGCUCCGCUCUCCAAGAACUUUCCAGAUGAAGCCGCAGUAAUCCGAACCACCACGCCAGGCUGAACUUAACUCUGUAAAACUUUUCAAUAAACAAUC